Long non-coding RNA from Psammomys obesus (fat sand rat), 1249 nucleotides. RefSeq lists it as uncharacterized. NCBI's taxonomy places the organism in Eukaryota, Metazoa, Chordata, Mammalia, Rodentia, Muridae. The transcript is spliced from 5 exons. The record is from RefSeq and is a predicted model, not a curated record.
GGUCUGCACUUCGGGUCCCAGCGGCACCUCUAACUUCCUCUUGGUGACCCAGAAGAAGAGCAGCACGGUGAUCCAGAGCACCCCGAAGAUGGGUAGCGCCAGGCGGCGAGUCAGGCGCCGCAUGGUCCCCUCUGUGUGCGCCCCUCUCGGUGGCGAGGCGUCCCUGGGGCACCCCCCGGCGGUCAGGGGCGGCGGGGCACGAGUCGCCGAGCGCCUCGCUCUAGGGGAAACGCUGCUCCCGGGAUCCCGAUGUUAGGUGGCGGGAUCCUGCCCCGCCCGCUUCAGAGAGAAGCCACAGCCGAGGACGGAGUGGCAAGGAGCCCCGAAGACUCCAGACCCGGCUAGGCAGGGGCGACGGGCAGCUUAGCCUGGCGCCCGAUCCAGCCGGAGAGCCGCGGUGGCCGCCGAGAUGCUGCUGCGCGCCGCGGCUGCCGUUGCCCUCGGCCGCCGCGAGGGAAACUGACUCGAGCAGCGGGUUUUAGGCCAUUCCUCAUCUUAAAAUGGAGGUGAGCACGGAAUUGCCUGAGCGUUCGGAGAGAAAAAGUGAAAGUUUUUGCGAAGUCUGGGGAGCAGUGGCCACGGGAGUGACGUUGUUUUAGUUGGAGGGAUGCUGGUUCCAAGUUUCUCCAGCUGUCCGCCUGUCACUCUCCUCCAGCUCACUGCACAGGCAGCAGCCUUUGUUCCUUUUGGAUCAGAUGCUUCAAGUCCCUUCUCCUUGUCCACCCCCUAGAGGCACAAGCCUUUGAGCCAACUCCUGCCGUGGACCCUGUUCAAGUUUUAGCUGUAAAUAAUUCAUCAGCCCCCUCUGCCUCUGUGUACUUGUUUCUUCUCGCCACCAUAGAUCCUGUGAAAACCACAUGUCCUGGGUCUCCUACCAGGACUUUCUUCUGCAGUAGAAAUGGAAUCAUCUGGGCUGAGAGGUGAAGGAGAAUGUGCUAUUAGCAACCCCCAUGCCCACCUUUUCUGCCAGGAUAACUGCAUUCCAGAAAGGUUGGCAUUCUCCUGUAUUAAGACAGAGCUGCCUCUCGGAUCUGAGUUGCAGAUUCAAAAACGAUGAGUGACAAGCAUCUCUCUCCAUGUGCUGGACCACCAGGCUGGGAGAUUUUGAAGCAGUACAGAUCACAGGGUUAAAAUCUAUUACCCAGAGAGAUGGGAAGGUUCCUCUCACUGAUUCCUUCACCCAGCUCAGCUCCCAGGCCUGAAUUCCAAAUUGAUUUCCUUAAUAACUAUUAAAGAUCUUUUUAAUUAA